RNAcentral lists this ribosomal RNA (397 nucleotides) under uncultured bacterium. RNAcentral describes it as "partial 16S ribosomal RNA". It matches the Rfam family "Bacterial small subunit ribosomal RNA", at positions 523 to 918 of the family's 1533-position model. The record is from RNAcentral.
AUACGUAGGUGGCAAGCGUUGUCCGGAAUUAUUGGGCGUAAAGCGCGCGCAGGCGGUCCUUUAAGUCUGAUGUGAAAGCCCACGGCUCAACCGUGGAGGGUCAUUGGAAACUGGGGGACUUGAGUGCAGAAGAGGAAAGUGGAAUUCCAAGUGCAGCGGUGAAAUGCGUAGAGAUUUGGAGGAACACCAGUGGCGAAGGCGACUUUCUGGUCUGUAACUGACGCUGAGGCGCGAAAGCGUGGGGAGCAAACAGGAUUAGAUACCCUGGUAGUCCACGCCGUAAACGAUGAGUGCUAAGUGUUAGGGGGUUUCCGCCCCUUAGUGCUGCAGCUAACGCAUUAAGCACUCCGCCUGGGGAGUACGGUCGCAAGACUGAAACUCAAAUGAAUUGACGGGG